Molecule: ribosomal RNA, 440 nt
Filed under: uncultured bacterium
Lineage: Bacteria
Description: partial 16S ribosomal RNA
Rfam family: Bacterial small subunit ribosomal RNA
Source: RNAcentral
CCUACGGGAGGCAGCAGUGGGGAAUAUUGCACAAUGGGGGAAACCCUGAUGCAGCGACGCCGCGUGAGUGAAGAAGUAUUUCGGUACGUAAAGCUCUAUCAGCAGGGAAGAAAAUGACGGUACCUGACUAAGAAGCCCCGGCUAACUACGUGCCAGCAGCCGCGGUAAUACGUAGGGGGCAAGCGUUAUCCGGAUUUACUGGGUGUAAAGGGAGCGUAGACGGCAGCGUAAGUCUGGAGUGAAAUCCCGGGGCUUAACCCUGGAACUGCUUUGGAAACUGUGCAGCUGGAGGGCAGUAGAGGUAAGGGGAAUUGCUGGUGUGGCGGUGAAAUGCGUAGAUAUCAGGAGGAACAGCGGUGGCGAAAGCGAGUUACUGGACCAUUAUUGACGCUGAGGAACGAAAGUCAGGGGAGCAAAUGGGAUUAGAUACCCGUGUAGUC